AUUGAACGCUGGCGGAAUGCUUUACACAUGCAAGUCGAGCGGCAGCGCGGGGCAACCUGGCGGCGAGCGGCGAACGGGUGAGUAAUACAUCGGAACGUACCCAAUCGUGGGGGAUAACUAUCCGAAAGGAUAGCUAAUACCGCAUAAGUCCUGAGGGAGAAAGCAGGGGAUCGCAAGACCUUGCGCGAAUGGAGCGGCCGAUGUCGGAUUAGCUAGUUGGUGGGGUAAAGGCCUACCAAGGCGACGAUCCGUAGCUGGUCUGAGAGGACG
This 270-nucleotide ribosomal RNA is filed under the name uncultured bacterium. RNAcentral's name for it is "partial 16S ribosomal RNA". It matches the Rfam family "Bacterial small subunit ribosomal RNA", at positions 30 to 302 of the family's 1533-position model. The record is from RNAcentral.